Molecule: long non-coding RNA, 292 nt
Organism: Fundulus heteroclitus (mummichog)
Lineage: Eukaryota; Metazoa; Chordata; Actinopteri; Cyprinodontiformes; Fundulidae
Exons: 3
Source: RefSeq, a predicted model, not a curated record
AAUCUCUCAGAUGGGCGGAGUCAAAGCAUGUGCUCUUGUUUGCACAUGUUGACUGUCAAACGGAACUUAUGCCACGGUCAUUUUCUGGAUCGCAACAGUAUAGAAAUGCCCAACGCAAGGUAGAGCUGUUUUAAACGCACUCAAAGUCCUUGAGUGCAAGAAACAGGCUUCAAGAUCCCUGAGGGAAUAUUUUGAUUUGGAUGGAAUUUGCAACCUGCACUGGCUACUAUCAACGUAACUGUAACUGAAUUCAAUGUAUGAGAACAACCUCCACACAAACUGAAAUGCACCC